This is a non-coding RNA of Cinara cedri, 313 nucleotides long. The record is from the annotation of a GenBank genome assembly. Lineage: Eukaryota; Metazoa; Arthropoda; Insecta; Hemiptera; Aphididae.
UGGGUGCAUCUAGGGACUUAAACCAUCAUUCGCUUGGAUUAUCUUAAUCGCAAAAUACUCCUCGUUUUUUUGUGCAAACUUUUCUACCAAAUUCUUGCUCCGAUGUAUCAAGUGUAGCUUAUUUUUUAAAUAAAAUUUAUACUCCAUGGUAACUUUGGGUGGUAAUUUUUUUAUUUUUCCAGAAGUUUUCCCAGAAAAAUUUGAAAACCCGAGAAAAAAGCAGGAAAAUCGGUACAAUAUUAUACAAAUAUUAAAAAAUAUAUAUAAUGCGAAUUUAGUUUUAUUUAAAAUAAUAUGACAUAUCUGUUGUUGA